RNAcentral lists this long non-coding RNA (507 nucleotides) under Pseudonaja textilis. Its description in RNAcentral is "lncRNA (ENSPTXG00000005823.1)". The record is from RNAcentral. Lineage: Eukaryota; Metazoa; Chordata; Lepidosauria; Squamata; Elapidae.
CACGUGACGAUCCUGGAGACUCUAGUAUGGCGGCGUCCGUGUCGCCGCCGCCGCCUUUGCCAAUUGAGGGGAUGAUGAAAUUGAGCCACAAAAGGCAUAGAGCACUUUUGAAGAAAGAGAAGCGGAAGAAAAGGAGACAAGCUCUAGCAAGACUGAGAGAUUCAGAAAAUAUAAAUAAAGAUGAACCAAUUUGUGAAAAAGAACUGAAUGACGAAGAGCAAGAACUUGAAGAUGAAAGGCAAAGGCUUCAUGAAGAAUGGUUGCUAAGAGAAGAAAAGGCUCAAGAAGCUUUCAAACUCAGGAAGGAAAGAGAAGAUGCAGCCAGAAAACGUCAGGAGGAAGAAGAGGUAUAGUGUAUGUUUUGAAACAGUGAAAUAGACUCCUUGAGCUAACUUUUGGAUCUUCAAACAUCAUUAAUGUCUUUAUUUUAAAAAAGAGAGCAGCACCAAAUUGCCAGAAACUAAUAUUGAUAAUGCAGCAUUAUAUUUGGAAAAAAUGCUAAAUGAA